RNAcentral lists this long non-coding RNA (567 nucleotides) under Macaca mulatta (Rhesus monkey). Its description in RNAcentral is "lncRNA (ENSMMUG00000052085.1)". Lineage: Eukaryota; Metazoa; Chordata; Mammalia; Primates; Cercopithecidae. The record is from RNAcentral.
GCACCAUCUGGUCCCCUGGGAGGUCAGUGCAGGGUUGCUCCAUUUUGACAUGAGUAAAUUCUAGAUUAGGUAUUUGGCAGCUAACUCAUCUGGAUAUAAGGAAACAGAAGUGCCAGACACGUAGAUAAUAUUUGAAGAACAGGAGCAUUCUUGGAACAUGCUGAAUAGAGGACAAGGAGAUGAGUAAAGAACUAUGAACAAAUCCAUUAAGUAUUCAAGAUUUAAGCAUUUAGAUAGUAAAUAGAGCAAACAGGGUGACAGAUAUCAGCCACUUGGUGUGUCUAGAGCAGUACUAAUUGACAGCUUGAGCUUGGUCCAGAAUGAUGAGAAAGCUCUUAUUCUUCCAUCAAGAAAGCUUUGUUUCAUUUCUCUUUUCACCUGGGUCACUGGCCUGAGGCACAAGGAAGAGAUCGAGAAAAGUCAACCACUCCUUGCUUGAUGAUGCAAAUUGCAUCAAGACCCUUUGCCUUCAAAAAUUCACAUGCUGAAGAUGGCAUUAGCUUCCGAACUAAUAUUUCUGACGCUUCCUCUGAGAUAGUUUUUGAGACCAAAGAUUUUACAGAAUGA